RNAcentral lists this ribosomal RNA (274 nucleotides) under Candidatus Mediterraneibacter intestinipullorum. Its description in RNAcentral is "partial 23S ribosomal RNA". It matches the Rfam family "Bacterial large subunit ribosomal RNA", at positions 2653 to 2925 of the family's 2925-position model. The record is from RNAcentral. Lineage: Bacteria; Bacillati; Bacillota; Clostridia; Lachnospirales; Lachnospiraceae.
GUAGGAUAUUUGAGAGGAGCUGUCCUUAGUACGAGAGGACCGGGAUGGACUGGCCGCUGGUGUAUCUGUUGUUUUACCAAGAGCAUAGCAGAGUAGCCAAGCCGGGAAGGGAUAAACGCUGAAGGCAUCUAAGCGUGAAGCCCCCCUCAAGAUGAGAUAUCCCAUAACGGUAAGUUAGUAAGACCCCUUGAAGACGACGAGGUAGAUAGGGCAGAGGUGGAAGUGUGGCAACACAUGGAGCUGACUGUUACUAAUCGGUCGAGGGCAUAACCAA